RNAcentral lists this ribosomal RNA (425 nucleotides) under uncultured bacterium. Its description in RNAcentral is "bacterial SSU rRNA". It matches the Rfam family "Bacterial small subunit ribosomal RNA", at positions 354 to 796 of the family's 1533-position model. The record is from RNAcentral.
GUUAGGAAUAUUGGACAAUGGGCGCAAGCCUGAUCCAGCCAUGCCGCGUGAGUGAUGAAGGCCUUCGGGUUGUAAAGCUCUUUAGCCGAUGAUUAUAAUGACUGUAGUCGGAAAAUAAGCCCCGGCUAACUUCGUGCCAGCAGCCGCGGUAAUACGAAGGGGGCGAGCGUUAUUCGGAAUCACUGGGCGUAAAGCGUGCGUAGGCGGCUUUGCAAGUUGGGAGUGAAAGCCCAGGGCUCAACCCUGGAAUUGCUCUCAAAACUGCAAGGCUCGAAUUCGGGAGAGGAUAGCGGAAUUGUCAGUGUAGCAGUGAAAUGCGUAGAUAUUGACAGGAACACCAGUGGCGUAAGCGGCUAUCUGGACCGAUAUUGACGCUGAGGCACGAAAGCGUGGGGAUCAAACAGGAUUAGAAACCCGAGUAGACC